RNAcentral lists this ribosomal RNA (450 nucleotides) under uncultured bacterium. Its description in RNAcentral is "partial 16S ribosomal RNA". It matches the Rfam family "Bacterial small subunit ribosomal RNA", at positions 354 to 796 of the family's 1533-position model. The record is from RNAcentral.
GUGGGGAAUUUUGGACAAUGGGCGCAAGCCUGAUCCAGCAAUGCCGCGUGCAGGAAGAAGGCCUUCGGGUUGUAAACUGCUUUUGUACGGAACGAAACGGUCCGGGUUAAUACCCUGGGCUAAUGACGGUACCGUAAGAAUAAGCACCGGCUAACUACGUGCCAGCAGCCGCGGUAAUACGUAGGGUGCAAGCGUUAAUCGGCAUUACUGGGCGUAAAGCGUGCGCAGGCGGUUUUGUAAGACAGGCGUGAAAUCCCCGGGCUCAACCUGGGAAUUGCGCUUGUGACUGCAAGGCUGGAGUGCGGCAGAGGGGGAUGGAAUUCCGCGUGUAGCAGUGAAAUGCGUAGAUAUGCGGAGGAACACCGAUGGCGAAGGCAAUCCCCUGGGCCUGCACUGACGCUCAUGCACGAAAGCGUGGGGAGCAAACAGGAUUAGAUACCCGUGUAGUCC